RNAcentral lists this transfer RNA (75 nucleotides) under Elsinoe ampelina. RNAcentral describes it as "tRNA-Arg". It matches the Rfam family "tRNA". From Rfam's summary of the family: Transfer RNA (tRNA) molecules are approximately 80 nucleotides in length. The record is from RNAcentral. Lineage: Eukaryota; Fungi; Ascomycota; Dothideomycetes; Myriangiales; Elsinoaceae.
GGUUGGCGCAAUGGUAGCGCGUCCGCCUCCUACGAUGGCAGCGGAAGGUUGUGGGUUCGACUCCCAUGCUAGUCG